AAGUCGUAACAAGGUUUCCGUAGGUGAACCUGCGGAAGGAUCAUUAACAAAAUCGCAUAAUUGGGGGAUACUGUUGUUGUUAUCUUGCUUGUGAAGAUACACCAGGGUGCCUUAAGGUACGGGUGAAUUUUGUGAAGCUGAGUCCCAACACAAAUUUCUCCUAUACGCUUGCGAAAGCUGUGUCUCUAGAGAUUAAUUUCUUUAGCGACGCGUAACAAACAAGUAACCUGGGGUACUUUAAGAUGAAGUGCUUUUAUAGUGCUUUGUUUUAGAGCCCUUCUAAUAAUCCCUUUUUUACCAUUUUACCCAUCAUAAACUAUAAGACUGAUAUGACAUGAUAAAUGUCAAAAACUAAAACUAUAAAACAACUCUUAACAAUGGAUAUCUAGGCUCUG
Molecule: unclassified non-coding RNA, 395 nt
Filed under: fungal sp.
Lineage: Eukaryota; Fungi
Description: partial internal transcribed spacer region
Rfam family: Eukaryotic small subunit ribosomal RNA (bases 1-46)
Source: RNAcentral